This 324-nucleotide long non-coding RNA is filed under the name Phascolarctos cinereus (koala). RNAcentral describes it as "lncRNA (ENSPCIG00000033193.1)". Lineage: Eukaryota; Metazoa; Chordata; Mammalia; Diprotodontia; Phascolarctidae. The record is from RNAcentral.
UUUGGAUCAUUCAUUGACUUGAAGGCCAACAAGGCACCCUGACACACUUGGCAGGGACACUGAAGGGGAACGGCCAAUCAACAUCCAGACCAAUAGACUUGGCAAAGCAGAGAACAAGCUACAGAAGAGGAAAGAUGAACAAUGCUGGCCCUUGUUUGUUGUGGAGCUGGCGUGUGGGAGAGAGGAGGAUAAUGGAAUGCAAUUAACCCAACCCUGGAACAAGGAUGACCCAGCUCCUCCAUCUGACCUGAUAGCCCCAGAGAUUCAAGAUCUUCCUAUAUUUCUCUCAGUUUCAUUGUUAUAAUGUUUUAAUCUCAUCUCUUC